RNAcentral lists this long non-coding RNA (770 nucleotides) under Anas platyrhynchos platyrhynchos (common mallard). Its description in RNAcentral is "lncRNA (ENSAPLG00000030576.1)". Lineage: Eukaryota; Metazoa; Chordata; Aves; Anseriformes; Anatidae. The record is from RNAcentral.
AAGUAGUAGAGGGCUGCAGCAGGGGAUCCAGUUGUAUAAGCAAGUGCCAAUUUAAUAGUUGCUGUUUACUAAGCUUGGUAUUAUCAAGUCUUAACAGGACUUUACUAAAGCAAACUUCUCCCUGGUGGCCUGUCCUCAUUGCUUCUGCAGUUUAAGAAAAUUAAAUGAGAGUAAUAGUGCUAAUUGUUAUUAAGUAACUGGUUAUCUUUAAUCAGGACAUUUUGUGCUACAACAUAGUGCAUUUGGGCAAUAUCAAGACAUAAAGAGGACAGAAAAAUGGCUUUGUGUAUGCAUUUUAAAAUUUCCUGAGUCUAGGGAUGGCCCUAUUUAUUCAAACUCCUAAUAAAAUGUUAAUUAUUAGCUACACUACAAAAAAAUUAAAUGAUGGGUAUCUCACCAAUAAGGUCCAUUCCACACAAGGCCCUCCUUUGAACUGUGCAGACUUCUUGGGAAACGUAGUCUCCCCACAAGCCCUUAUUCAGAAUUCACCUAUUCCCAGAGCAGCAGCAUGUUCUAUUGCUCUGUUCCAGGAACCUGUCACAAGAAGCCAAAAAUGACCAUGUGCUGUGCAGAACUAGCUUCUGUUGCACCUGCUUAAAGAGGUAGAACGUAUCAGGAAGAAAAAUGGAGAAGAGAACUGACAAGAUCAUGUUAGGACCAGAGAGCCUGCAUGGCUGCACUGCGGGCGGCCACCGAUCUAGUCUCUGCCUUCACAAUGCAGAUCGAAGUGUGAUAAAGUGUGUAGGUCACGGUCAUGAGUAGCUGAGUGC